Molecule: ribosomal RNA, 427 nt
Filed under: uncultured prokaryote
Description: bacterial SSU rRNA
Rfam family: Bacterial small subunit ribosomal RNA
Source: RNAcentral
CUAAGAAUAUUCCGCAAUGGACGAAAGUCUGACGGAGCGACGCCGCGUGGAUGAAGAAGGCCGCAAGGUUGUAAAAUCCUUUUGCUGGGGAAGAAUAAGUCCAGGAGGGAAUGCCUGGAUGAUGACAUGAACCGGCGAAUAAGCCCCGGCCAACUACGUGCCAGCAGCCGCGGUAACACGUAGGGGGCAAGCGUUGUUCGGAAUUACUGGGCGUAAAGGGCAUGUAGGCGGUUUAGUAAGCUUGGCGUGAAAGACCACAGCUCAACUGUGGGGUUGCGUUGAGAACUGCUGAACUUGAGUUACGGAGAGGGAGCUGGAAUUCCUGGUGUAGGGGUGAAAUCUGUAGAUAUCAGGAAGAACACCGAUGGCGAAGGCAAGCUUCUGGUCGAUAACUGACGCUGAGGUGCGAAAGUGUGGGGAUCAAACA